This 476-nucleotide ribosomal RNA is filed under the name uncultured bacterium. Its description in RNAcentral is "partial 16S ribosomal RNA". It matches the Rfam family "Bacterial small subunit ribosomal RNA", at positions 28 to 523 of the family's 1533-position model. The record is from RNAcentral.
GAUGAACGCUGGCAGCGUGCUUAACACAUGCAAGUCGAGCGAGUGAGUUCUUCGGAACGAUCUAGCGGCGGACGGGUGAGUAACACGUGGGCAACCUGCCUCAUAGAGGGGAAUAGCCUCCCGAAAGGGAGAUUAAUACCGCAUCACAUCGUUGAAGGGCAUCCUUCGAUGAUCAAAGGAGCAAUCCGCUAUGGGAUGGGCCCGCGGCGCAUUAGCUAGUUGGUGAGGUAACGGCUCACCAAGGCGACGAUGCGUAGCCGACCUGAGAGGGUGAUCGGCCACAUUGGGACUGAGACACGGCCCAGACUCCUACGGGAGGCAGCAGUGGGGAAUAUUGCACAAUGGGGGAAACCCUGAUGCAGCAACGCCGCGUGAGUGAUGACGGCCUUCGGGUUGUAAAGCUCUGUCUUUGGGGACGAUAAUGACGGUACCCAAGGAGGAAGUCACGGCUAACUACGUGCCAGCCGCCGCCGUAA